AACCAGACUCCUACGGGAGGCAGCAGUCGGGAAUAUUGCGCAAUGGAGGAAACUCUGACGCAGUGACGCCGCGUAUAGGAAGAAGGUUUUCGGAUUGUAAACUAUUGUCAUUAGGGAAGAAAAAAGACAGUACCUAAGGAGGAGGCUCCGGCUAACUACGUGCCAGCAGCCGCGGUAAUACGUAGGGAGCAAGCGUUAUCCGGAAUUAUUGGGUGUAAAGGGUGCGUAGACGGGAAAAUAAGUUAGUUGUGAAAUCCCUCGGCUCAACUGAGGAACUGCAACUAAAACUGUAUUUCUUGAGUGCAGGAGAGGAAAGUGGAAUUCCUAGUGUAGCGGUGAAAUGCGUAGAUAUUAGGAGGAACACCAGUGGCGAAGGCGACUUUCUGGACUGCAACUGACGUUGAGGCACGAAAGUGUGGGUAGCGAACGGGAUUAGAUACCCCGGUA
RNAcentral lists this ribosomal RNA (447 nucleotides) under uncultured bacterium. RNAcentral's name for it is "bacterial SSU rRNA". It matches the Rfam family "Bacterial small subunit ribosomal RNA", at positions 329 to 792 of the family's 1533-position model. The record is from RNAcentral.